GGGGCUGUAGCUUAGUUGGUAGAGCGUCUGCUUUGCACGCAGAAGGUCAGGAGUUCGAAUCUCCUCAGCUCCACCA
RNAcentral lists this transfer RNA (76 nucleotides) under Verrucomicrobiota bacterium. Its description in RNAcentral is "tRNA-Ala". It matches the Rfam family "tRNA". From Rfam's summary of the family: Transfer RNA (tRNA) molecules are approximately 80 nucleotides in length. Their secondary structure includes four short double-helical elements and three loops (D, anti-codon, and T loops). Further hydrogen bonds mediate the characteristic L-shaped molecular structure. tRNAs have two regions of fundamental functional importance: the anti-codon, which is responsible for specific mRNA codon recognition, and the 3' end, to which the tRNAs corresponding amino acid is attached (by aminoacyl-tRNA synthetases). tRNAs cope with the degeneracy of the genetic code in two manners: having more than one tRNA (with a specific anti-codon) for a particular amino acid; and 'wobble' base-pairing, i.e. permitting non-standard base-pairing at the 3rd anti-codon position. The record is from RNAcentral. Lineage: Bacteria; Pseudomonadati; Verrucomicrobiota.